This 143-nucleotide ribosomal RNA is filed under the name uncultured Chlorophyta. Its description in RNAcentral is "partial small subunit ribosomal RNA". It matches the Rfam family "Eukaryotic small subunit ribosomal RNA", at positions 1297 to 1461 of the family's 1831-position model. The record is from RNAcentral. Lineage: Eukaryota; Viridiplantae; Chlorophyta.
GUUGGUGGAGUGAUCUGUCAGGUUGAUUCCGGUAACGAACGAGACCUCAGCCUACUAAAUAGCUUUGGUGACCUUGGUCAUUGGAAAGCUUCUUAGAGGGACUAUCGGUGUGUAACCGGUGGAAGUUUGAGGCAAUAACAGGU